UGUCUCACAACGAUGUCCCUGA
This 22-nucleotide microRNA is filed under the name Pristionchus pacificus. Its description in RNAcentral is "ppc-miR-8326-3p". The record is from miRBase by way of RNAcentral. Lineage: Eukaryota; Metazoa; Nematoda; Chromadorea; Rhabditida; Neodiplogasteridae.